This 497-nucleotide ribosomal RNA is filed under the name uncultured bacterium. RNAcentral describes it as "partial 16S ribosomal RNA". It matches the Rfam family "Bacterial small subunit ribosomal RNA", at positions 28 to 507 of the family's 1533-position model. The record is from RNAcentral.
GAUGAACGCUGGCGGCGUGCCUAAUACAUGCAAGUCGAGCGAACAGACGAGGAGCUUGCUCCUCUGACGUUAGCGGCGGACGGGUGAGUAACACGUGGAUAACCUACCUAUAAGACUGGGAUAACUUCGGGAAACCGGAGCUAAUACCGGAUAAUAUAUUGAACCGCAUGGUUCAAUAGUGAAAGACGGUUUUGCUGUCACUUAUAGCUGGAUCCGCGCCGCAUUAGCUAGUUGGUAAGGUAACGGCUUACCAAGGCGACGAUGCGUAGCCGACCUGAGAGGGUGAUCCGCCACACGGGAACUGAGACACGGUCCAGACUCCUACGGGGGGCAGCAGUAGGGAAUCUUCCGCAAAGGGCGAAAGCCUGACGGAGCAACGCCGCGUGAGUGAUGAAGGUCUUCGGAUCGUAAAACUCUGUUAUUAGGGAAGAACAAAUGUGUAAGUAACUAUGCACGUCUUGACGGUACCUAAUCAGAAAGCCACGGCUAACUACGUG